GACGAACGCUGGCGGCGUGCUUAACACAUGCAAGUCGAACGGUGAAGCGCCUUCCUUUUUGGUGGGUGUGGAUGAGUGGCGAACUGGUGAGUAACACGUGAGUAACCUGCCCCCUUCUUCUGGAUAACCGCAUGAAAGUGUGGCUAAUACGGGAUAUUCUGGGUCUGUCGCAUGAUGGGUCUGGGAAAGAUAUUGUUUCGGUGGGGGAUGGGCUCGCGGCCUAUCAGCUUGUUGGUGGGGUGAUGGCCUACCAAGGCGGUGACGGGUAGCCGGCCUGAGAGGGUGGACGGUCACACUGGGAAUGAGACACGGACAAGACUACGACGGGAGGCAGCAGUGGGGAAUAUUGCACAAUGGGCGCAAGGCUGAUGCAGCGACGCCGCGUGAGGGAUGGAGGCCGUCGGGUUGUGAACCUCUUGCGCCAGUGAAGCAGGCCUGCCUAGUUUGUGGGUGGGUUGACGGUAGCUGGAUAAGAAGCGCCGGCUAACUACGUG
RNAcentral lists this ribosomal RNA (494 nucleotides) under uncultured bacterium. RNAcentral's name for it is "partial 16S ribosomal RNA". It matches the Rfam family "Bacterial small subunit ribosomal RNA", at positions 28 to 507 of the family's 1533-position model. The record is from RNAcentral.